GCUCCUUUGGGCUCCAGUUGGUAGAGCGUCAGUCAUCAUAAUCGGAAGGUCGCCCAGUUCGAUCCUGGCAGCAGAGCA
Non-coding RNA from Phytophthora infestans T30-4, 78 nucleotides. NCBI's taxonomy places the organism in Eukaryota, Oomycota, Peronosporomycetes, Peronosporales, Peronosporaceae. The record is from the annotation of a RefSeq genome assembly.